UGGGGGAUAUUGCACAAUGGGCGAAAGCCUGAUGCAGCGACGCCGCGUGGGGGAUGAAGGCUUUCGGGUUGUAAACCUCUUUCGCUAUCGAACAAGGCCCGCUUAGGGUGGGUUGAGGGUAGGUGGAGAAGAAGCGCCGGCUAACUACGUGCCAGCAGCCGCGGUAAUACGUAGGGCGCGAGCGUUGUCCGGAAUUAUUGGGCGUAAAGGGCUUGUAGGCGGCUUGUUGCGCCUGCUGUGAAAACGCGGGGCUUAACUUCGCGCGUGCAGUGGGUACGGGCAGGCUUGAGUGUGGUAGGGGUGACUGGACUUCCAGGUGUAGCGGUGGAAUGCGCAGAUAUCUGGAGGAACACCGAUGGCGAAGGCAGGUCACUGGGCCAUUACUGACGCUGAGGAGCGAAAGCAUGGGUAGCGAACAGG
RNAcentral lists this ribosomal RNA (420 nucleotides) under bacterium. Its description in RNAcentral is "partial 16S ribosomal RNA". It matches the Rfam family "Bacterial small subunit ribosomal RNA", at positions 355 to 776 of the family's 1533-position model. RNAcentral also lists the same sequence under 1 other name. The record is from RNAcentral.